CAGUACCGUGAGGGAAAGGCGAAAAGAACCCCGGCGAGGGGAGUGAAAAAGAACCUGAAACCGUGUACGUACAAGCAGUGGGAGCCCCACCACUAAGCCAGUGGUGAACUCCACAUCCGCAUCCUUUGCUGAGGAUACGGUUAACGGAGCGAAAGCGACGUUCAACCGCAAAACAAGCAGAGGGGGCUUAGUGGUGGGGUGACUGCGUACCUUUUGUAUAAUGGGUCAGCGACUUAUAUUCUGUAGCAAGGUUAACCGAAUAGGGGAGCCGGAGGGAAACCGAGUCUUAAUUGGGCGUUAAGUUGCAGGGUAUAGACCCGAAACCCGGUGAUCUAGCCAUGGGCAGGUUGAAGGUUGGGUAACACUAACUGGAGGACCGAACCGACUAAUGUUGAAAAAUUAGCGGAUGACCUGUGGCUGGGGGUGAAAGGCCAAUCAAACCGGGAGAUAGCUGGUUCUCCCCGAAAGCUAUUUAGGUAGCGCCUCGUGAAUUCAUCUCCGGGGGUAGAGCACUGUUUCGGCUAGGGGGCCAUCCCGGCUUACCAACCCGAUGCAAACUGCGAAUACCGGAGAAUGUUAUCACGGGAGACACACGGCGGGUGCUAACGUCCGUCGUGAAGAGGGAAACAACCCAGACCGCCAGCUAAGGUCCCAAAGUCAUGGUUAAGUGGGAAACGAUGUGGGAAGGCCCAGACAGCCAGGAUGUUGGCUUAGAAGCAGCCAUCAUUUAAAGAAAGCGUAAUAGCUCACUGGUCGAGUCGGCCUGCGCGGAAGAUGUAACGGGGCUAAACCAUGCACCGAAGCUGCGGCAGCGAACGUAUCACCCAAGACAACUUUACGGAGUUGACGAUUGACGGAGCGAAGCGACGUCAAAGCGUUCAUUAAAGUCGAGUUGGCUUAGGGAUACGUUCGUUGGGUAGGGGAGCGUUCUGUAAGCCUGUGAAGGUGUGUCGUGAGGCAUGCUGGAGGUAUCAGAAGUGCGAAUGCUGACAUAAGUAACGAUAAAGCGGGUGAAAAGCCCGCUCGCCGGAAGACCAAGGGUUCCUGUCCAACGUUAAUCGGGGCAGGGUGAGUCGACCCCUAAGGCGAGGCCGAAAGGCGUAGUCGAUGGGAAACGGGUUAAUAUUCCCGUACUUGGUGUUACUGCGAAGGGGGGACGGAGAAGGCUAUGUUGGCCGGGCGACGGUUGUCCCGGUUUAAGCGUGUAGGUGUGUGUUCCAGGUAAAUCCGGUUCACUUUAACACUGAGGCGUGACGACGAGGCACUACGGUGCUGAAGCAACAAAUGCCCUGCUUCCAGGAAAA
RNAcentral lists this ribosomal RNA (1304 nucleotides) under Salmonella enterica subsp. enterica serovar Typhimurium. RNAcentral's name for it is "partial 23S ribosomal RNA". It matches the Rfam family "Bacterial large subunit ribosomal RNA", at positions 496 to 1616 of the family's 2925-position model. The record is from RNAcentral. Lineage: Bacteria; Pseudomonadati; Pseudomonadota; Gammaproteobacteria; Enterobacterales; Enterobacteriaceae.